Molecule: ribosomal RNA, 253 nt
Filed under: uncultured bacterium
Lineage: Bacteria
Description: partial 16S ribosomal RNA
Rfam family: Bacterial small subunit ribosomal RNA
Source: RNAcentral
UACGUAGGUGGCAAGCGUUGUCCGGAUUUACUGGGUGUAAAGGGCGUGCAGCCGGGCUGACAAGUCAGAUGUGAAAUCCCGCGGCUCAACCGCGGAACUGCAUUUGAAACUGUCAGUCUUGAGUACCGGAGAGGUCAUCGGAAUUCCUUGUGUAGCGGUGAAAUGCGUAGAUAUUAGGAGGAACACCAGUGGCGAAGGCGGCCUGCUGGACCGUGACUGACGUUGAGGCUCGAGAGCGUGGGGAGCAAACAGG